AAAUCGACCCUAAUAUAGUGGGGAAUUUGGGGCAAAAAAUCGGAUAAGAAGCAGCUCUUCUGUUUAGAUUGAAAAUUGAAGAGGAUGUCAUGAAGGUCUCAAGUCAAUGAAAGAAGCUGAAACAGAUGGAAAGCAAGGAGGAUUUGUCUUCACUUUCAAAGAGCGUAAAGUGAAAGAAAGGAGGAAGUCCACACCCUUGGGUUUGGGGGCAUCGGAUCCAGUGUGCAAUGUGAGAAGUAAAAUGAAGAGGAGAAAUGAUCUAGAGAGACUUUCUGAUGAAGCAAAC
Molecule: long non-coding RNA, 286 nt
Filed under: Homo sapiens (human)
Lineage: Eukaryota; Metazoa; Chordata; Mammalia; Primates; Hominidae
Description: HSALNT0215379
Source: RNAcentral